Transfer RNA from Fonsecaea pedrosoi CBS 271.37, 103 nucleotides. It matches the Rfam family "tRNA". From Rfam's summary of the family: Transfer RNA (tRNA) molecules are approximately 80 nucleotides in length. The record is from Rfam. NCBI's taxonomy places the organism in Eukaryota, Fungi, Ascomycota, Eurotiomycetes, Chaetothyriales, Herpotrichiellaceae.
GGAGAGAUGGCCGAGUUGGUUAUGGCGUCAGGUUAAGGCUUCAGUCUUGACACCACGUUUCCUGAUGGGGCAACCCGCGUGGGUUCGAAUCCCACUCUCUUCA